This 466-nucleotide ribosomal RNA is filed under the name Eurybregma nigrolineata. RNAcentral describes it as "partial 16S ribosomal RNA". The stretch from base 340 to 466 matches the Rfam family "Bacterial large subunit ribosomal RNA", at positions 2473 to 2600 of the family's 2925-position model. The record is from RNAcentral. Lineage: Eukaryota; Metazoa; Arthropoda; Insecta; Hemiptera; Delphacidae.
UUUAAAUAGCUGCAGUAUCUUAACUGUACAAAGGUAGCAUAAUAAUUAGUCUUUUAAUUGGGGUCUAGUAUGAAGGGUUUGACAAGAAAAAAUCUUUAUUAAUUUAAUUUAAUGAAUUUUAUCUUUUCGUUAAAAAGCUAAAAUUUUAAAAUGGGACGAUAAGACCCUAUAGAUCUUUAAAUUUUUGUUUAUAUAAGUAUUUAAGUUAUAUUUGAAUUUUAUUUAUAAAAAUUUUUUGUUGGGGUGACAAAUAAAUUUUUAAAACUUUAAUACUUAAAUCCAUUAAUUGAUGUAUUUUAUGAACCUAAAUUUGGGGUUGUUAGAAUAAGAUACCUUAGGGAUAACAGCGUAAUAAAUUUGUAUAGUUCAUAUAGAUAAAUUUGUUUACGACCUCGAUGUUGAAUUAAUCUUAAGUUUUGGGGCAGAAAAUAAAAUUUUAGGUCUGUUCGACCUUUAAAAGGUUACA